Brassica oleracea var. oleracea is the source of this 705-nucleotide long non-coding RNA. RefSeq lists it as uncharacterized. NCBI's taxonomy places the organism in Eukaryota, Viridiplantae, Streptophyta, Magnoliopsida, Brassicales, Brassicaceae. The record is from RefSeq and is a predicted model, not a curated record. The transcript is spliced from 3 exons.
AUCGGACUGUCGUACAUUCAUAUGAUGUACUUCGUUUCGGAGCCUCUUCUUCUGGCGUAGUACAAGAAGAAACCUCAGAAUUAUGAGUUGGGACUGCAGCUUUCAGUAUGGUAGCUUAGUGGAAGAGGUGGAUGGUCAGACAGCAGUGUUCUCUGUAAACAUAUAAAGUCAAUGAUACGUCGUGUAGAUUGCCGUGGAUAUUGGUUUAUUAACCUUUCCAAAUGGAGUUACGCGGCUCGUUAUUGGUGUAGUCACAACCUUGGUUGUUGAAAUGGCUUUCCUUACAGGAAAAUACACUAGAAGAAUUUGCAUAGCUGGUUAUCAGUGCCGUUAGGUUUGGCAUAUAAUUUAUGACUCCUUCAAACCCCUUGAGAAAUUACGAUCAAACUUCAUAUAUGUUCUUUGUCACAGAAAAAGUGUUUAAUGGCACUAGAGUUACGACAUGAUUAUUAUGCCUCAGUAUUCACUAUAAACUUGAAGGAUUUAACAUCCAGUGAUCAUAAUGUAACUCCAAUAUGCUAAUGCUAAGAGACGAGCUCGACCUGACAUAAGUGGCUGCCGGUCGAUGAGAGAGAUCAGCCAAAAGCACAUCAAGACAGAUUGGGACUUUCCUCAUUACCUCCCUGACAAGUUAUAAGAAAACUUAUUCACCUUUUUGACAGCAGUUCAAGAGAAUGAAAAGAGAGAUGGAUGUUUGAACUUAUG